RNAcentral lists this ribosomal RNA (257 nucleotides) under uncultured bacterium. RNAcentral describes it as "partial 16S ribosomal RNA". It matches the Rfam family "Bacterial small subunit ribosomal RNA", at positions 524 to 777 of the family's 1533-position model. The record is from RNAcentral.
UACGAAGGGGGCUAGCGUUGUUCGGAAUUACUGGGCGUAAAGGGCGCGCAGGCGGCUCUUCAAGUCAGAUGUGAAAGCCCCGGGCUCAACCUGGGAACUGCAUUGGUGACUGGCAGGCUUUGAGUGUGGCAGAGGGAGGUAGAAUUCCACGUGUAGCAGUGAAAUGCGUAGAGAUGUGGAGGAAUACCGAUGGCGAAAGCGGCGCGCUGGAUCCCGUACUGACGCUGAGGCACGGAAAGCCAGGGGAGCAAAGCGGG